This is a long non-coding RNA of Ictalurus punctatus (channel catfish), 531 nucleotides long. The record is from Ensembl. NCBI's taxonomy places the organism in Eukaryota, Metazoa, Chordata, Actinopteri, Siluriformes, Ictaluridae.
GAGUGAGUAAAAAGGAAACAGGGGGACGGACUGUUGCUCAAAUGUGUCUAAAACAUUUUAAAGCGAAUGAGAGACAUGCUCAAACCAUAUUUGCAGUGGGAAAUACAAAAAAAGAUGUGACAUGUUGGGAUGUGAACAAGCUGAGCAGAGGAGAAGAUAAAUCAACAAAUAAGAGAGAGAUGCUGAUAAGUAGGUCCAUUUGCAGUUACACUGUAAGGACUGUUGAUUUCCAUAAAAGGUUGUGUGUUUAGGAAAAAGCACAGACCACCAGAUGUAUUAAUUAUGUAUGCUGAGAAGUAAAGAUAAGGAAGCUAAUGGGGCAAUCAUACACAAAAUGGGUUAUUUCUAUUUAAUCUGUGUUAAAGAAAAUGCAUAAAUUUUUUUUGCUUUUACUUUUCUCAUCUAUCACUUCAAUUUGUUCAGAUUCUCUGAUUGAAGCCUAUGACCUGGCCUUUGCAGAAAGCAGGUCAUCAUUAUAUAACCAGGAAGUGGCCUGCCAACAUCCUGCAGCUUGUUUAUGGUGACAUCUUG